CCGAGGGUUUGUCAUCAGGUAUUGCCAUAUAUAGGGGCCCUGAGGCCCGGCGGAACAGUAUUCCAGACGCACAGAGAGAUGAAGCUACUAAAUAUCCUCUGCUUCUGCCUGGCUGUCCUCGCCUCCACUCGGGCUGAGGACGCAGCGGCCGUGUUGAGCCCUCGUGGAACCCGACCAGUAGAACACGGUUACAAGGCUGAUAAAUGUGCCACAGAGAGGAGUUGGCCUUUCUGCUCAGAUGACGACUGGGUACGUUUUCACUCGUAGGGAGACCGGAAACGUCUGAAUAUUAUAAAUACAUAUUUAGAAUCUUUGUUGUGGUUUUAUUUGACAUAGAUUGUAUAGUUGUAUCCUUUUCAGGUGAGGGGUGAGGGGUCACCGUUUCUCUCACCUGAAUAAGCUCACCGUUUCUCUCUGCUUAUAGGAAAACAUGUCAACAUGGAGAUGAUCAGUUACUCAAACUCCUAGAUUAAUAAAAGUUCAUAUUUGAUCAAGUUGAUUGAAAACACAGACAUUUUACAAUCCAUUUUGACUAGGGGAUGAUUUGACUAGGGGAUGAUUUGACUAGGGGAUGAUUUGACUAGGUGAUGAUUUGACUAGGGGAUGAUUUGACUAGGGGAUGAUUUGACUAGGGGAUGAUUUGACUAGGGGAUGAUUUGACUAGGGGAUGAUUUGACUAGGUGAUGAUUUGACUAGGUGAUGUUUUGACUAGGUGAUGUUUUGACUAGGUGAUGUUUUGACUAGGUGAUGUUUUGACUAGGUGAUGUUUUGACUAGGUGAUGUUUUGACUAGGUGAUGUUUUGACUAGGUGAUGUUUUGACUAGGUGAUGUUUUGACUAGGUGAUGAUUUGACAAGGCAUUAGUUAUGAUUAGGCAUUGAUUUGAUUCCAUUUUCCCCUGUCUCACUGUCUCCAUGUCCAUCUGUCUCCAUGUCUCACUGUCUCGGUCUUCCUGUCUCCAUGUCUCCAUGUCUCAGUAGUUUAUAUUCACUCUGGGGUGGAUUUGAGGACUCGGCUUAAACUGCGUCUGGGAAGCCGUCCGUCUAUGUCCUGUAACUCUCUUCUCUCCCCUCCUCUCACGUCCUCCUCCCCUUCUCUCCCCUCCUGCUCCUCUCCUCUCCCCUCCCUCCUCUUCUCUCUCCUCUCUCCUCCUCUCCC
Long non-coding RNA from Oncorhynchus keta (chum salmon), 1157 nucleotides. RefSeq lists it as uncharacterized. NCBI's taxonomy places the organism in Eukaryota, Metazoa, Chordata, Actinopteri, Salmoniformes, Salmonidae. The record is from RefSeq and is a predicted model, not a curated record. The transcript is spliced from 7 exons.